ACCUGGAAAUGGGAUCAUUGGCAUUGUCGUAUCAAGAGAGAACAAAAGAAGAUAAGGCUUUAGCUUUAUAUUGUUGUCUCAACUCCCCGCAAAUCAGAGUCAGCUAUUUACAUACCUUUGCUCUCAAAGUUUCAAGAUGCAGGAUCCAUUUGCUCAUUCAUAUCAUUUUCUCCUUCAGCAUCAUCAUCUUCAUCAGUCUGCUCUCUUGAUGAUGAUAUAUUUGCUGAGCUGACCAGAAUUCCAGCCUUUUUUGGCACAGAAGGUGAGAAAGAAAUUCCUAAAGGUUCAUUAAUAUCAUUAUCUUGUGACCAUAAUUCAUUCUAAACUCCUGAACUAAAUAGAACAUUUUCUGGCAACUAUUAUUUGAGAAAGGUUCUUAAAAUUGUUGAACUAACAUUUGAUGUUAAAUUUCGAGGUAAUAACUUAGUGAAGAUGUUCAAAAAAGUAGAUUUUAGUGUUUUUAAAGUAGAUAUUAUAUUCAACUUCUAAUAUGUUUGGAAUUCUUCCUUUCAUGUUCUCAUCAUUUUAAAAGUUCUUAUUCUUAUUCC
Molecule: RNA transcript, 548 nt
Organism: Benincasa hispida (wax gourd)
Lineage: Eukaryota; Viridiplantae; Streptophyta; Magnoliopsida; Cucurbitales; Cucurbitaceae
Gene name: pentatricopeptide repeat-containing protein At3g18970-like
Source: RefSeq, a predicted model, not a curated record